AUUGAACGCUGGCGGCAUGCUCUACACAUGCAAGUCGAACGGUAACAGGCCGCAAGGUGCUGACGAGUGGCGAACGGGUGAGUAAUGCAUCGGAACGUGCCCAGUCGUGGGGGAUAACUACUCGAAAGAGUAGCUAAUACCGCAUACGAUCUAUGGAUGAAAGCGGGGGACCGUAAGGCCUCGCGCGAUUGGAGCGGCCGAUGUCAGAUUAGGUAGUUGGUGGGGUAAAGGCUCACCAAGCCAACGAUCUGUAGCUGGUCUGAGAGGACGACCAGCCACACUGGGACUGAGACACGGCCCAGACUCCUACGGGAGGCAGCAGUGGGGAAUUUUGGACAAUGGGCGCAAGCCUGAUCCAGCAAUGCAGCGUGCAGGAAGAAGGCCUUCGGGUUGUAAACUGCUUUUGUACGGAACGAAACGGCUCUGGUUAAUACCCGGGGCUAAUGACGGUACCGUAAGAAUAAGCACCGGCUAACUACGUG
This 482-nucleotide ribosomal RNA is filed under the name uncultured bacterium. RNAcentral describes it as "partial 16S ribosomal RNA". It matches the Rfam family "Bacterial small subunit ribosomal RNA", at positions 30 to 507 of the family's 1533-position model. The record is from RNAcentral.